RNAcentral lists this ribosomal RNA (248 nucleotides) under uncultured bacterium. Its description in RNAcentral is "partial 16S ribosomal RNA". It matches the Rfam family "Bacterial small subunit ribosomal RNA", at positions 529 to 776 of the family's 1533-position model. The record is from RNAcentral.
AGGAUGCAAGUGUUAUCCGGAAUCACUGGGCGUAAAGCGUCUGUAGGUGGUUUAAUAAGUCAACUGUUAAAUCUUGAGGCUCAACCUCAAAAUCGCAGUCGAAACUAUUAGGCUAGAGUAUAGUAGGGGUAAAGGGAAUUUCCAGUGGAGCGGUGAAAUGCGUAGAGAUUGGAAAGAACACCGAUGGCGAAGGCACUUUACUGGGCUAUUACUAACACUCAGAGACGAAAGCUAGGGUAGCAAAUGGG